Molecule: ribosomal RNA, 484 nt
Filed under: uncultured bacterium
Lineage: Bacteria
Description: partial 16S ribosomal RNA
Rfam family: Bacterial small subunit ribosomal RNA
Source: RNAcentral
AUUGAACGCUGGCGGCAUGCUUUACACAUGCAAGUCGAACGGCAGCGCGGGCUUCGGCCUGGCGGCGAGUGGCGAACGGGUGAGUAAUGCAUCGGAACGUGCCCAGUAGUGGGGGAUAGCCCGGCGAAAGCCGGAUUAAUACCGCAUACGACCUGAGGGUGAAAGCGGGGGACCGAAAGGCCUCGCGCUAUUGGAGCGGCCGAUGCCGGAUUAGCUAGUUGGUGGGGUAAAGGCUUACCAAGGCGACGAUCCGUAGCUGGUCUGAGAGGACGACCAGACACACUGGGACUGAGACACGGCCCAGACUCCUACGGGAGGCAGCAGUGGGGAAUUUUGGACAAUGGGGGCAACCCUGAUCCAGCCAUGCCGCGUGCGGGAAGAAGGCCUUCGGGUUGUAAACCGCUUUUGUUCGGGAAGAAAUCCUCUGGGCUAAUACCCCGGGGGGAUGACGGUACCGGAAGAAUAAGCACCGGCUAACUACGUG